Molecule: long non-coding RNA, 851 nt
Filed under: Physcomitrium patens
Lineage: Eukaryota; Viridiplantae; Streptophyta; Bryopsida; Funariales; Funariaceae
Description: long non-coding RNA (PPAT_LNC007521)
Source: RNAcentral
AGAUCUCUACCCUUAUCUCGCUUUCUAUCUUGCAAAUUUGAUUCCAAGAUCACAUCCUCACAUUUUCGGUUGAUAACUGUGCAAUCAAAUCCCAAUUGCUUGUUCCGUAGAUUUCCUGAUUCCCCUGCAUGACGGAAAGAGGAAGCUGUCGUAAGCUGGCGUAUUUAUAUGGGAGGUUCGAGUACUGUGGUGCUGAAGAUAAACACGCCUUGAGACAGAUUUUCGUUAUGCGGCUCAGCAUUGCUAUUUGAAUUGUUUCACCGAAUACACAGUUCGGCAAGGUAAACCUGUUAAAUUCUGGUUAUUACGAACUCAUGAACUGCCGUGUGAAGCCGACUAUGCGGAGCUCAGCGACGCGCCACCGGGUGCAGCAUAUAUUGCGAAUUAAUAUGACGCUGUCGAUCCUUUGAAUGCUUCGGUAGAGCAUACUAUAACCUGUGCAUUGUGUUCAGGAUGGUUGGUUCUCGCUUGCGAACAUGCUCAGUACGAAGCAAACAACUGCGGUGUACCCGAAAUUGAGGGCCGCGACGAAACUGGAACUGUUGAUUAAAUCCGCAUCGAUGUGUAAAAACUUCACAGUUUGUGUAUAUAUCUGAUAUGUACAUAUUGCAAUAUGUGUACGUGUGUGCGCAUAUUUAGUUCCUCUUUGACACAAACCUCUUUCGCAGAAGCGGGGGAUGAGUAAGCUCAGUGAAGCAUCUGGAAUAGGAGAUCCGAACCUGGGUAGCACAGAGUCAUCAGAAGUCGCACCAGUUGUCGAAAUUAAUACUCCACGCUGGUUUUUUCAGCGACAAGUCCUUCGCAUGGACACAUACAACUCCUUGUUUCGUCUCUUUCAGACAACCUAAGCU